This 254-nucleotide ribosomal RNA is filed under the name uncultured bacterium. RNAcentral's name for it is "partial 16S ribosomal RNA". It matches the Rfam family "Bacterial small subunit ribosomal RNA", at positions 524 to 776 of the family's 1533-position model. The record is from RNAcentral.
UACGGAGGGUGCAAGCGUUAUCCGGAUUUACUGGGCGUAAAGGGCGCGUAGGCGGCCACGACAAGUCACUUGUGAAAUCUCCGGGCUUAACUCGGAACGGUCAAGUGAUACUGUCGGGCUAGAGUGCAGAAGGGGCAACUGGAAUUCCCGGUGUAGCGGUGAAAUGCGCAGAUAUCGGGAGGAACACCAAUUGCGAAGGCAGCUCGCUGGGACGUUACUGACGCUGAGACGCGAAAGCGUGGGGAGCAAACAGG